GUGAGGAAUAUUGCGCAAUGGAGGCAACUCUGACGCAGCCAUGCCGCGUGCAGGAAGAAGGCGCUACGCGUUGUAAACUGCUUUUAACCGGGAAGAAACCCCAGGACGUGUCCUGGGUUGACGGUACCGGAGGAAUAAGCACCGGCUAACUUCGUGCCAGCAGCCGCGGUAAUACGAAGGGUGCAAGCGUUAUCCGGAUUCAUUGGGUUUAAAGGGUGCGUAGGCGGAGCGUUAAGUCAGUGGUGAAAUCCUGCAGCUUAACUGUAGACUUGCCAUUGAUACUGGCGCUCUUGAGUGCGCUUGGAGUGGGCGGAAUGUGCCGUGUAGCGGUGAAAUGCUUAGAUAUGGCACAGAACACCAAUUGCGAAGGCAGCUCACUAAGGCGAUACUGACGCUGAGGCACGAAAGCGUGGGGAUCGAACAGGAUUAGAUACCCUAGUAGUCC
Molecule: ribosomal RNA, 445 nt
Filed under: uncultured bacterium
Lineage: Bacteria
Description: partial 16S ribosomal RNA
Rfam family: Bacterial small subunit ribosomal RNA
Source: RNAcentral